Molecule: long non-coding RNA, 3039 nt
Filed under: Phoenix dactylifera (date palm)
Lineage: Eukaryota; Viridiplantae; Streptophyta; Magnoliopsida; Arecales; Arecaceae
Description: long non-coding RNA (PDAC_LNC012670)
Source: RNAcentral
UAAGUUCCGGGAUAAAUAUCUACCCGAACGUAGAAAUCCGCUCGAGGGGCCGAAGUCACCUCGAAAAUAAUAAGUUCAGGGAUAAAAAAUUUACUCGAACGUAGAAAUCUGCUCGAGGGGCCAAAGCCACCUCAAGACUUAGAAGUCCACCUGAGGGGCCGAAGCCAUCUUAGGAAUAAUAAGUUGGGGAUAAACAUUUACCUGAACGUCUUGCGGACGGAGGUGCUCUUCCUCGGCUCCCCGUUGACGCCGCAAGGCAUCCCGAGCCUAGCUCAAAGGAUGACUCUGUAGGUGGCCCUCCAAAAUAAUAAUAAGCAUGAAUGAGUUGGUCAGGCUGAACCCAGUGACAUGUGGUAAUAGCUGGUUUGACUCCAUUAUAUUGGACCUCUGUGUACCCGGGUUGUUUAGUUGGGAUUGAUAGCUCUUUCUUUACAUGCGAACCAUUCUUGACAAAUUUAGACAACAUGUGAUAUUCUGAAAAUUUGAUGGAUCAGGUUCUAAUAAAUUGUAGAAAAUACUUGUGGACUUGAGUAGUGCACCUAAAACUCAGGCGGUGCCCUAUUGUGGUGGAGGUAUUAGUACUCUGAGAACGUCAUGCGAUUUGAUGCACACUACACUUUUAUAUUUUCUUGCUUUGAUAGUUGCCAUGCUUGAAAAUAUAUAUCAAUUAAUUACAUGUGUAUUAGCUUAAGAUUUAUUUCAUAUUUUUAUUAGGAUCUCAUGUCAUAUCAUUCAUGAUGUUUAUGGGUAACAUCCCUAAAAACCUUUACGAGACAAUACUCGUCCACUAGGGUAACCUAGGGGUUUAACGGCUUGUUGCACGUGCUAAGUGCAAUCGUGAUUCCUAUGAAAGUGAGUACAUAUCUUAGUUUUAUGUCUUAGCUUCAAUAAAAAGUCAAAGGUUAAACCACACCUUUUGCACUCUCAUUUUAUUAUUUGCUCGUUAAUUGCUAGAGAUUAGCAAUAAGCUAGUUGGGGGUGUGAUGAGAGCACAAAAGUGCGAUCUACACAUCACUUAAAUUAGUAUUAUUGCUAACAAAUAAUGAUAGAAGUGCUGUAUUAAUAUUAUAUUUUUUUGUUGGAUGCAGAUGAUCGUAAAUCAGAGUUAAGAUGCGUAUUUGGUACAAAUUGGGAUGAUGCAUAACUCCGAACCUGAUCAUGCUGGAGCAUAAUUAUUCUGAUCAAGUACACUUGCACCCGAGCAACACUUGUUUGCACAUCACAGUCCUUAGAGUGCAUUGGAAUUCUGCAUUGGAAUUCAAAAUAAAGAAAGAAAUCAGCAGCGUGUCCAGCUUCCUUCUCGUCUCAUCCCGUGCGUCCAUUUGAAGAAGAUUGCGAUGCAGCUGUCUACGUUCAAUCCCACGCGUCCGCCCGCGUGGAAGAGAUCCCGAUCCUUCUCAAUCGGGCCACAUUCUUCCGCCGUUAGCUCCUUCCCAUGAUGCAUUCCGAAGUUUCCACGCUCCAGCACUCUUCACGAUCAAGCUCCAUUCGUCCAGGCCUCACGAGUCCAAGAUUCAUCUUCAGCUCGGUGACCAUCCAGCACAUCAUACGAGUCCACGCGUUCAUCCCGUCGUUCGCAAGAAUCCUAGCAUUUCGCAUCUCUUCCCAGCGAUUUUCCAACAAAGAUCCGACUUCAUCCUAGCAUCCAAUGCGUCUCAGCCUUCCGAGUUCGCAUCCCAGUGCCUCCAGCCGUCCGCGUGUGGAUCUCCCAAGUCUUGAGUCCUAUCUUCCUUCCGAUCCAUCCGCUUCUUCCGCCUCGAUUUGCAUGCGUGCGAUCUCUCGUUUCUGCUAUCCAGCUGUCCCUCCGCAUCCGAAGAUAAUCAGCAUCCCAGGAUCCGUGAUCAGCUCCCAUCCCGCGUUUGGCCUUCUCGCAUCCGGCAUACUCGGCAUCUCCAUGUAUCCUGUGGGAUCAGGGAUCCAUCGCAACAUAUAGAGGGGUUCUCUUAGCUGGGGGGGCGUUCAUUCGAAAAACAGAGGAGGCCCCCUGCCAUUUGAAAAGAAAAAAAAAGAAAAGGAAACAGGGGAUGCCUUGUUUCCGAAAAUAAAAAGAAAAAAGGAAGGAAGAGGAACAGGGGAGUUUUCUUUUAUGUUGAUGGCCGGCUAAUCCCUUAGGUGUAGGGUGAUGGGAGAACCCUUGACUUGUUACUUUCUUGAAGUAAACUCUAAACUAUUGUUCUAUUCAAUUUAGAUCUUUUGAUAUGUUUUGGUUUUUUGCUUGCCUAUGUUGUAGAUAGUUCUUUAAUGGUUUAUAUCUAUUGAUGCAUGGAUUACUUUAUUAUUUGAUUUGUCGUAGACAUAACCGGCACGACAAAUGCUUAGAAAUUGAGUUCGUGUGUUCAAACAAUAUAUUCCAUGAUUAGAUCUAUCCUAUAUUUGAACUUUUAAAUCAGAAAUCGUAGAGUUUAUAUCUUGAAUGUACUAUUGUCAAGGGGGAUUCCAGAUCCCUACACCAUCUUAAUCUAUCCAAACUUCGAUUCUCUGUUUACUGAUUUAUUUUCUAUUUGCAAAACAUCAUCUUAAUCCACAAAUUUAUUGAAUUAAUUAAUCUAAAAUUAUAUUAAAUAAUCUCAUAUAUAUUUCGUUUUCUGAGGAUUCGACCUCGGACUCCUGAGAAUUUACUACUUGUACGAUUCUCCUACACUUGGGAGAUUAGUUUUGCGAAAGCAUUUUUGUGAACGCGUCACCUAGGAGAGCGAAAGACAAACAAUCGUAAAUUAUUUUAAGGAUAGAAGCCCGUCCGGGGCUUUUGUUAACUCAGGAGCAUAGGCGAGUUCGGGGACAAGCAACCUCCUGGAAGCAGAAAUUCGCUCAAGGGCCGAGGCCAACUUGAGACUUAGAAAUUCGCCCGAGAGCCGAAGCCACCUCGGAAAUAAUAAGUUCGGGGAUAAACAUCUACCCGAACGUAGAAAUCCAUGGGAUAAACAUCUACCCGAACGUAUAAAUCCACUCGAGGGGCCGAAGCCACCUCGAGACUUAGAAAUUCACACGAGGAGCCGAAGCCACCUCGGGAAUAAUAAGUUCGGGGAUAAACAUCUACCC